Molecule: non-coding RNA, 2009 nt
Organism: Odocoileus virginianus texanus
Lineage: Eukaryota; Metazoa; Chordata; Mammalia; Artiodactyla; Cervidae
Source: RefSeq, a predicted model, not a curated record
CUCUUCCAACGCGGGCUGCAUAGCUGGAAGUCAUGGCUUCCUCGCUGUGGUUCCAGCAAGGCCGGCGACCUCGGGCCUUUGGCCUAGGGAAGGCUGCGGAGGCGGGCCUUUCUUCGGCAUCUGCAGAGACGGUGAGGAGCAGACCUGCAGGUUGAAGCUUAGAAGUAACGAAUGGAAAUCUGAAAUAGAUGUAGACUGUGGGCUUUGAAAAAAAGUCACAUGAAAACCAUCAUCCAGAGAUGUAAGGAUCCGUGUGAUGAGAUUUCUAUAAAUGGUGCAGCUUCAGUUGGAGGCCGAAAAGGAUACUCCAGAAAAAUACACUGGCUGCAGUGCUGUGGUGACUGCCCUGGACCUGAUGUGGAAUUUCUCUCAUGUGUCUGCAGCGUGUGAAACAGAACUGACCUGCUUUACCUAAAGCAAGUGAAACCGUUCGUCUCCCGUUGUUUGUAAUGUAAGCUUUCUGUUUCAAUUUUAGUAUAUGUGCUGCCGAAGCGAGCACAAGCUUUCUGUUUCUAUCGUACGUGUCCGAAAGAAUCCCCACAAGCCUGUGAUGUUUAGUUAUCCCUGUCUGAACAUCUCGAUUGAGGGAAAACAAUCUGUUCUGAGGCUUAAGGGGCUGGCCCUGGGCUCUUACAAGCAAUUCAGGCUUUACAAGGGAUCAGACGGAACGCACUCCAAAGGGAGUUGUGCUCACAUACCCUGCCCAGACCCCAGUCCUGGUGCGCCAUCCCUCGGCCACUUGAAAACCAGUGGUGAGCUGCCCUGUCACCCUUUGGCUCUGAGGGCACAGGCCAUAAGAGGUGGCAGAAGUGGGCAAGUGGCCCAGAUUUGGCUUAUGCUCUUAUUGUGGAAUGAAAGAGUGCUUGUCACAUAGUUCAAGAAAACGAAUGCGCUCUUUGAGACAGACGGCAAUGGAAGAUGUAUGCCGGCUGUGGCAGUGAGCACACUUCAGGACAAUCUGAUCUCUCUCUCUCGCCUUUGUACUAUAUCCUGAAUGUCAGGAAAGAAGGGGUACCAUGGCACUAGCAUGGUUUCCAGGUGCCUUGUUCACGCAGGGCACUCUCCUGGGGUUAGCCCAGCUCUUGUCUGAAUGGCAUGGCUGGCUUGUGAGCAAGAGAGUAGCAGAGUGGCACUGGGCUUUGUUCCCAUUGAAAUGCCACGCUUGAAGUGGGCACAGAUUGCCUUUCUUUUCUGCUGAAGUUGGGAGGUAUGUGCAGCUCUUCAUAUGUAAGGUCACAUAUUUGUUCAGUCACCAAGGAAACUAUAUUUGGGGUGGGACUUAAAGAACUAGAAAACUGGUCCAAGCAGCCUACAGCCUAAAGCAAAACAUAGUGAAAGGACGUGUUAACAAGUGGGAAGGUCUACCUGCUGGGUUACAGUCUGCUUCUGAGUGGACUUGACUGUCCUGCGGGACCCAAGUGAACCUGGAGGGGUUUUUUGUGUUCUGUUUUUUAAGCUCUGCCGCACGUGAACCCCGGCCCUUGGCAGUGAGAGUGCCGAGUCCUAACCAUUGGAUCACCAGGGGAUUCCCCGAACCUGUAUGUUUGACUUCAGAGGGCGUCUGAAUAUAAAUGCUCCCAGCACUUGGUGGGUGCUCUUUACUGGACCCUUGCCAGAUUCUGUUCUCUCAGAUCACCGUCUCCUGGAAAGAGGCAUUUGGGACCCGUUAGCCUGCACUAGCAACAGCAGCCUGCACUGUAUCAAUCUGGUUGUGCCUUCCACACACACAAACACAGGCAAAAUGAUGGACUGUUUAGAAUGAGUUCCUUCAGGAUUGCCUCUUGGAAAUUAAGGUAUAACUAAGAACAUUUGCAGUACCACACACAGAGUUUAGGUGAUCUUGGUGCAGUGGGGGGACUGCCGUGAUUGUAAAAUGAAACUUACAUGUACAUGCUCUGUUGAAGACUAAGGGGAAACAGGUGUUCAGCCUAAAAAAACAUUUCUCAGUGGAUUUCUACAGUGUGUCUUGGGUUUAACUUUAAAGCAAAUUAAAACAUUUUAAAAGUUGA